Molecule: long non-coding RNA, 805 nt
Organism: Parus major (Great Tit)
Lineage: Eukaryota; Metazoa; Chordata; Aves; Passeriformes; Paridae
Exons: 2
Source: RefSeq, a predicted model, not a curated record
UUUCCAUUCUCCUAAUCUAUAUCUCACAGCAGGAAAUAAGUAAGUACACUGGUGAUUUUUACCUACUAAAAAGGUAGCUAAAAGCUACUACACAGGGUAAUAAAAAAUAUUUCUGAGAAGCAUUAAAAUUUAAUCAGAUAUAAGGAAAUUAGGUUAUAUUAGCAUGGGGUAUUCAAAGAUUAUAAAUUGACUUGGCCUGAGACCUAAACAACACAUCGUGUUCCAGUGUCCCUUCUAGCACGUCAACCACACUGAAGACCUUAAAACAAGAUCCAAAGCUCAGCCCAACCAGGCUAAGAAAAGUCAUGAGUUUUUCAUGGGGAAAAAUAAAAUUAGAGAAAUGAAAAGGAAGGAAAUAAGAAAGGUAUCUCUGUUUGCCUCCUAGAUACAAGGAAUUUCAAGUUCAUAUUGAGAUAUUUUUAAUGUAUUAUUAACUAUUGCUGUUUACAGUUGGCAAAGCAGAGUUCCUUUUGUGGAGGACUGACAAAGUAUGGUGCUGAGCCACAAAGGUGAUGAGUGGGCCCUAACUAGCUCUGAUUAAAUGAAACCCACAUUUUCCUUCCCAGCUUUUGCAUUGGAUUAUCCUGAAAAGAGCAAAUGGAAGAGGAAUAAAGUACAAAAUACCAGGACAAACAGAACAGAUAAAGAUGCAGCUGAAAUAAAUCAAUGCCCACAGGUGCAAGAUCUAAAGGAUUCAGGACCAGAAUGAGAAGACGAGAGCAUCAUCUUGAAGAAAAUGCACUUGUGCUAAGGGUAUGUGGGGAUCUGUUUUGGCUGAGGAAUAAAUGCUGAUUAUUUAUUGGUU